UGGGGAAUUUUGGACAAUGGGCGCAAGCCUGAUCCAGCCAUGCCGCGUGCGGGAAGAAGGCCUUCGGGUUGUAAACCGCUUUUGUCAGGGAAGAAAUCUUCUGAGUUAAUACCUCGGGAGGAUGACGGUACCUGAAGAAUAAGCACCGGCUAACUACGUGCCAGCAGCCGCGGUAAUACGUAGGGUGCAAGCGUUAAUCGGAAUUACUGGGCGUAAAGCGUGCGCAGGCGGUUUUGUAAGACAGAGGUGAAAUCCCCGGGCUCAACCUGGGAACUGCCUUUGUGACUGCAAGGCUUGAGUGCGGCAGAGGGGGAUGGAAUUCCGCGUGUAGCAGUGAAAUGCGUAGAUAUGCGGAGGAACACCGAUGGCGAAGGCAAUCCCCUGGGCCUGCACUGACGCUCAUGCACGAAAGCGUGGGGAGCAAACAGGAUUAGAUACCCUGGUAGUCCACGCCCUAAACGGUGUCAACUGGUUGUUGGGAAGGUUCCUUCUCAGUAACGUAGCUAACGCGUGAAGUUGACCGCCUGGGGAGUACGGCCGCAAGGUUGAAACUAAAAUGAAUUGACGGGGUCAUAGCUGUUUCCUG
Molecule: ribosomal RNA, 586 nt
Filed under: uncultured bacterium
Lineage: Bacteria
Description: partial 16S ribosomal RNA
Rfam family: Bacterial small subunit ribosomal RNA
Source: RNAcentral